RNAcentral lists this ribosomal RNA (257 nucleotides) under uncultured prokaryote. Its description in RNAcentral is "partial 16S ribosomal RNA". It matches the Rfam family "Bacterial small subunit ribosomal RNA", at positions 524 to 780 of the family's 1533-position model. The record is from RNAcentral.
UACGGAGGAUCCGAGCGUUAUCCGGAUUUAUUGGGUUUAAAGGGUGCGCAGGUUGUUUGAUAAGUCAGUGGUGAAAGUCUGUCGCUUAACGGUAGGAUUGCCAUUGAUACUGUUGGACUUGAAUAUGGAUGAGGUAGGCGGAAUGUGUAGUGUAGCGGUGAAAUGCAUAGAUAUUACACAGAACACCGAUCGCGAAGGCAGCUUACUAAUCCAUCAUUGACGCUGAGGCACGAAAGCGUGGGGAUCAAACAGGAUUA